Molecule: ribosomal RNA, 632 nt
Filed under: uncultured Fusobacterium sp.
Lineage: Bacteria; Fusobacteriati; Fusobacteriota; Fusobacteriia; Fusobacteriales; Fusobacteriaceae
Description: bacterial SSU rRNA
Rfam family: Bacterial small subunit ribosomal RNA
Source: RNAcentral
AACUGAGGGAAACUUCAGCUAAUACCGAAUGUGCCCGUAAGGGGAAAGAUUUAUCGCCAAUGGAUUAGCCCGCGUAGGAUUAGCUAGUUGGUGGGGUAAUGGCUCACCAAGGCUCCGAUCCUUAGCUGUUCUGAGAGGAAGAUCAGCCACACUGGGACUGAGACACGGCCCAGACUCCUACGGGAGGCAGCAGUUGGGAAUCUUGGACAAUGGGGGAAACCCUGAUCCAGCCAUGCCGCGUGAGUGAUGAAGGCCUUCGGGUUGUAAAACUCUUUCGACGGGGACGAUAAUGACGGUACCCGUAGAAGAAGCUCCGGCUAACUUCGUGCCAGCAGCCGCGGUAAUACGAAGGGGGCUAGCGUUGUUCGGAAUUACUGGGCGUAAAGCGCGCGCAGGCGGUCUUCCAAGUCAGUGGUGAAAGCCCGGAGCUCAACUCCGGAACUGCCAUUGAAACUGUUAGACUUGAGGACGAGAGAGGUGAGUGGAAUUCCCAGUGUAGAGGUGAAAUUCGUAGAUAUUGGGAAGAACACCGGUGGCGAAGGCGGCUCACUGGCUCGUAUCUGACGCUCAGGCGCGAUAGCGUGGGGAUCAAACAGGAUUAGAUACCCUGGUAGUCCACGCCGUAAACGAUG